GACGAACGCUGGCGGCGUGCUUAACACAUGCAAGUCGAACGGAAAGGCCCUGCUUGCCGGGUACUCGAGUGGCGAACGGGUGAGUAACACGUGGGUGAUCUGCCCUGCACUUCGGGAUAAGCCUGGGAAACUGGGUCUAAUACCGGAUAUGACCUUCCAUGUAGUGUGGGGGGAGGAAAGAUUUAUCGGUGUGGGAUGAGCCCGCGGCCUAUCAGCUUGUUGGUGGGGUAAUGGCCUACCAAGGCGUCGACGGGUAGCCGGCCUGAGAGGGUGGACGGCCACAUUGGGACUGAGAUACGGCCCAGACUCCUACGGGAGGCAGCAGUGGGGAAUAUUGCACAAUGGGCGGAAGCCUGAUGCAGCGACGCCGCGUGGGGGAUGACGGCCUUCGGGUUGUAAACCUCUUUCGACAGGGACGAAGCUUCGGUGACGGUACCUGUAUAAGAAGCACCGGCUAACUACGUG
RNAcentral lists this ribosomal RNA (465 nucleotides) under uncultured bacterium. RNAcentral describes it as "partial 16S ribosomal RNA". It matches the Rfam family "Bacterial small subunit ribosomal RNA", at positions 28 to 507 of the family's 1533-position model. The record is from RNAcentral.